UUGUCCGUACUGAUGUGAUGGGUUCUUACCUUCUGAAUAACCAGCAUGUCAUUAAUUUGGUGUGUUGGGGAAGCAGGACUAUUACCUUGAAAAAAUUAGAGUGCUCAAAGCAGGCUAGUGCCUGAAUACAUUAGCAUGGAAUAAUAAAAUAGGACGGCAUGGUUCUAUUUUGUUGGUUUCUAGGAUCACCGUAAUGAUUAAUAGGGAUAGUUGGGGGCAUUAGUAUUCAAUUGUCAGAGGUGAAAUUCUUGGAUUUAUUGAAGACUAACUUCUGCGAAAGCAUUUGCCAAGGAUGUUUUCAUUAAUCAAGAACGAAAGUUAGGGGAUCGAAGACGAUCAGACACCGUCGUAGUCUUAACCAUAAACUAUGCCGACUAGGGAUCGGACGAUGUUAAUUUUUUAAUGACUCGUUCGGCGCCUUACG
This 424-nucleotide ribosomal RNA is filed under the name uncultured Glomeromycotina. RNAcentral describes it as "SSU rRNA". It matches the Rfam family "Eukaryotic small subunit ribosomal RNA", at positions 671 to 1092 of the family's 1831-position model. The record is from RNAcentral. Lineage: Eukaryota; Fungi; Glomeromycota.